This 250-nucleotide ribosomal RNA is filed under the name uncultured bacterium. RNAcentral describes it as "partial 16S ribosomal RNA". It matches the Rfam family "Bacterial small subunit ribosomal RNA", at positions 355 to 597 of the family's 1533-position model. The record is from RNAcentral.
UGGGGAAUUUUGGACAAUGGGCGAAAGCCUGAUCCAGCCAUUCCGCGUGCAGGAUGAAGGCCUUCGGGUUGUAAACUGCUUUUGUACGGAACGAAAAGCCUUUUUCUAAUAAAGAGAGGUCAUGACGGUACCGUAAGAAUAAGCACCGGCUAACUACGUGCCAGCAGCCGCGGUAAUACGUAGGGUGCAAGCGUUAAUCGGAAUUACUGGGCGUAAAGCGUGCGCAGGCGGUUAUAUAAGACAGUUGUGA